UUCAUUGAUUGCUUGAAUUUAUGUUGAUAGUUUUAUAUUUAAUUUAUAUUCACAGGCAGUCUCAAGGUUGCUUUUAUAGAGACUCUUGUCACGACUACAGGAGGCCUCAAACAUCGUAUAGAUUUUAAAAUAUUGCUUAUUACUUAUAAAGCCCUGAAUGGCUUAGCACCUCAGUAUUUGAAUGAGCUCCUUUUACAUUAUAAUCCUCUACAUCCCCUACGUUCUCAAAACUCAGCCAAUUUUGAAAAUACCUAGAAUAUCAAAAUCAACUGCGGGCGGCAGAUCCUUUUCCUAUUUGGCGCCUGAACUCUGGAAUAACCUAUCUAACAUUGUUCAGGAGGCAUACACACUCUUGCAGUUUAAAUCUAGAUUAUAGACCCAUCUCUUUAACCUGGCUUACACAUAACAUGCUAAUAUGCUUUUAUUAUCCAAAUCCGUUAAAGGAUUUUUAGGCUGCAUUAUUUAGGUAAACCGGAACCGGGAACACUUCCCAUAACACCCUAUGUACUUGCUACAUCAUUAGAAGAAUGGCAUCUACGCUAAUAUUUGUCUGUUUCUCUCUUAUUCCGAGGUAACCGUAGCCACCAGAUCCAGUCUGUAUCCAGAUUAGAGGGUCUCUGCAGUCACCCUGUUCCAGUACGUAUCCAGACCAGAUGGUGGAUCAGCACCUAGAAAGGACCUCUACUGCCCUGAAAGACAGCAGUGACCAGGACAACUAGAGCCCCAGAUACAGAUCCCCUGUAAAGACCUUGUCUCAGAGGACCACCAGGACAAGACCACAGGAAACAGAUGAUACUUCUGCACAAUCUGACUUUGCUGCAGCCUGGAAUUGAACUAUUUGUUUCGUCUGGUCAGAGGAGAACUGGCCCCCAAACUGAGCCUGGUUUCUCCCAAGGUUUUUUUCUUCAUUCUGUCACCGAUGGAGUUUCGGUUCCUUGCCACUGUCGCCUCUGGCUUGCUUAGUUGGGGUCACUUCAUCUACAGCAAUAUCGUUGACUUGAUUGCAAAUAAAUGCACAGACACUAUUUAACUGAACAGAGAUGACAUCACUGAAUUCAAUGAUGAUCUGCCUUUAACUAUCAUUUUGCAUUAUUGACACACUGUUUUCCUAAUGAAUGUUGUUCAGUUGCUUUGACGCAAUGUAUUUUGUUUGAAGCGAUAUAUAAAUAAAGGUGACUUGACUUGACUUGUGAAUCGCCUGGACACAAGACGUACCUCUUUAGUGAUUUUGAAUGAAAUUGCUGGACUAAUGGGACAUACCAAAACCAUUGCAUCUGAGCAGAUGAUUGACUGAAAUUGGUCUGACUGUACCUUGCAUUUCAAAACUGCUUGGCAUGUCAACACGAACGCAGAAUGCAAGAGUUUGGCAUAACAGUGAGAGGAACAUACAGUCAAUUGACUAAUGAAGAGUUAGACAAUCUUGUGGCUGCAAUCAAAACAACAUCACCACACUCAGGCUACAGAAUGAUGAGAGGACACUUGAAAGCUCUUGGUCAUCGAGUCCAGUGGAGCAGAGUCUUCAGCUCUAUGAAUAGAGUUGAUUCGGCUGAAGUCCUUGCUAGAAUGUCACAACUUGGGCAUGUUGUGAGGAGAUCAUAUUCAGUUCAGGCCCCUCUGUCCCUCAUGCAUUUGGACACCAACCACAAGCUGAUCAGGUCAUGUAUCUGGAGGCUGCAACCAACAACAAAGCAGAGACUGCACUAGGUUUCUUCCUCAAGGCAGUAGAAAAGCGUGCAGUUCCUUCACGGGUAAGAGCAGACCAAGGUGUAGAAAAUGAGGACAUUGCAAGGUGGAUGUUCACUGUUCAGGGCUGUGGCAGGGGAAGUUUCAUUUCGGGGAAGAGCGUUCAUAAUCAAAGGGUCGUACGGCUAUGGAAAGAUGUGUGGAUGUCUGUUUCAAACUUGUAUUAUGAUGUUCUACAUAAUUUGGAAGAGAGUGGCUCUCUUGACCCAUCAAACACUAUUCACUUUUUCUGUGCAUAUUCUGUGCAACCAUUAGUCCAGUCUCACAGUCAGGAGACUUUGGCCAAGAUAUUUACUUAUCAGUGUUAAGUUUUGUGCAGCUGCUUCUUGAAUAACACUUUGGAGCUCAAAACAUCAGACUAUAAGUUACGUAAAAGAAAAAAAAAAAUCCUGUAAAGUUGUCUUUGUCUUGUAUGGUGUCAUUAUUCUAUUGUGAAAUUGAUCAGUGCUUCCCACACAGAGAUUAAACAAAAAAUAAUAAUUAUAUACAAGACUAAUGUGGUAAAUGUGACUAAACACCUUUGGCAUGAAA
Long non-coding RNA from Carassius gibelio (silver crucian carp), 2274 nucleotides. RefSeq lists it as uncharacterized. The record is from RefSeq and is a predicted model, not a curated record. Lineage: Eukaryota; Metazoa; Chordata; Actinopteri; Cypriniformes; Cyprinidae. The transcript is spliced from 4 exons.